Long non-coding RNA from Cannabis sativa, 1627 nucleotides. RefSeq lists it as uncharacterized. The transcript is spliced from 2 exons. NCBI's taxonomy places the organism in Eukaryota, Viridiplantae, Streptophyta, Magnoliopsida, Rosales, Cannabaceae. The record is from RefSeq and is a predicted model, not a curated record.
CAAAAAAAUCCUUCUUUGACUAAAUCAAAGAAUCCAAAGAUGACAUUGCAACGAUUUGCAAAUCGAAGCCGAAAAUUAAUGUCCCCCACUCAAUUCAAACAUCACCUAGAAAAAUCGUCUCUUUGAAUUUAUCAACCACAGCCUACGACAAUGAAUUUCUCUCUGAUUCAAUUCCCAACACCAAACUCAGACCCCAAGGAUCCAUUCACUUUUUGUUUUCUGAUUCGAUUCAUUUUGUUUGGAUCCAUUCACUUUUGGUUUUUCUGCCUAAUGAUUGACCUUCUUUCUUUCCUUACUCAUUCAAACCCAAAUUCAAUCCGCCCAUGAUGAUCGAUAGACUGAAUCGUCGUAGUCGAUUGGUCCCCUAGAGUGGAUUCAGAGGUGCACUUGUAACUGUGACUCAGGCACUUAUACGAAUCCUUAUCCGGGUCUCCCAAAAAACCAUCCAACGAUUAAGAAUAUGAAGACCCAGAUCUGAUUCCCGACUCCCACCAUUCCAGUUCUGUCGUCGGUGGUGGUGUAUGGAGCUUUGGCGGUUUAAUCCAAACUAUAGCGACUAAAUUUGAAUCUGUCAUUGAAAUCUACUGGCGGGAUUUCCCUUUCACCUCGUUGCUCAGGUUUCCCUCAGCCUCCCACUUCUCAACUCGGCGGUGGCGGCGGCGACAUCUCCUCCACUAGCAGACAUGAAGAGGAAUUGAGUUGGGAUGUUGAUGACAAUGACUAAGAAGAUGAUGUUGUGUUGAAAAAGAUUGCCAAGAAAAAUGGGGAAUCGGGUAGUGAAGAUGGUGUAGUAGUAGCAAAGGAAGUGCAAAAUGACUCCUCAAAUGCUUCCUUGAUGGAAUAGAAAGUUCCUUUGAUACUAAUAAGAAUGUUGAGAAAACUUAUAAUGUGAAUGAGGGAAAGAGUAGUGAGGGAGAGUAAACAGAGUGUGCAUUUGGAAGAAGAUGUUGUUGAUUCUGAAGCAAGUAAUAAAAAAUUAGAUGUAUCCAAAGCUGAUGAUAAAGUAGCUUUGAAAGGGAUGAUUGAAUUUGGUGAAUCGAACAAAGAUAAUGAUGUUACAGUUGUUUCAACUCAGCCCUCAAUGCCAGAGGAGGAAGAUCUUGGUUGGGAUGAGAUUGAUGAUCUUAAAACUAUUGAAGAUAAGAAAAUUACUCUUCUUAGGAGGCCUAAUAGAGCAGAGCUGUGAAAGCGGCUUAAGAAGAUGAUGUGGACUUGAGCUGGGAUAUUGAAGAUGGUGAUGAUGAACCAAGUAAAGCUCCAAACUAGAACUUCAGUUAGUUAAUAAUUGUACUGCUUUCAUAUUUUCCUCCGUAGAGGAUUUCUUUUCUUUUUCCUUUUUUUUUUUUCAAUAUCUUCUCCCCUAUUUUUUUUUUCUGUGAUGUUUUAAAUGCAAAUAUGUUUACGUCAUGUAAAAUUAAUUUGUAAGGUUUGAAAGUAACUCUAUCAUAGUCAUGUAAUGUCAUUUAAUUUUGCUACAUUUAUAUGGGGUUCCCGCUCUUUGCCAAAGACUGAUGGCAGUUGAUAUUAUUCAAAUCAUUCAAUUACAUUAAGGUAGCAUUUUAUAUUUAUAGGACCCAUUUAUGUUUGUAUGACUCUUAUUUGUAAUUGAUCAUUGUUUCUCAUGUUA